UGAUAUUCUAAAUAGGCAAGUCAGUCAUGAAACACAAUAGAUGUAUUAAUAUAGAUAUAUAAUUUCAUAUAUAUGCAGUUUAUCAUAAAGAUGGUAUUUCCAGUCAAUGAUGAAUAAAAGAGAAAAAUAAAUUAUAGAAACAUCAAAAUGGUAAAGAUAAAACAAGGCAAAUCUUUAAACGUAUUAUAAGAAAAUAAAAGAAAUUCAUUUAGAACAUUGAGUUAGAAAAGACCCUUGUAAACAAAUUACAAAUGAAAGUUUUUCUCUUUAUGGUAAAAAUCAUAAAGGAAACAAAAGUUAAUCUGAUAUCAAGAAAACAUGAUUGAAUAUGCCAAAGUCACUAUAAAAUUAAAAUUUGUGUUAAAACUUUAAAAGUAUUUGAUACUUGUAUAAAAUAAAGGAUUGAUAUUCACAGUUUAUUUUAAAACCUACAAAUACUUAUAACCACAAAAAUCCAAUAGACCCAGGGGCCAAGUGUGGAGAUAGGGAAUUCAGAGGACAGGAAAUCCAAACACUUCCAAUACAGAGUCCAACCCACUCCCUGAGAGUUGGAUGUUUGGAAACUACAACGCAGGGAUAUCACUUUUUUGCCCACAACAUUUGCAAAAUUGAACGAUAUAAAAAUUUACCAUCGAAUUUUGUUCACAAUAUAGGGAAACAGGCACUGUCAUUUCUUGCGUGACAGAUUGGUUCAGUCUUCAAAGGACAACUUAGCAGUAUUUGCUGACAUGAUCAAAGCGCUUCUCUUUUGGUCCAUCAUCUCCACUUCUCAGUGACAAAUCUUAAGACACAUUCACAUGGAAAAAAACCCAAGAUAGUCACAUACUUCCUGUUGUAUCUUUGUACUUAGAAUUACAAUAUGGGAGAAAAGUACCUUGACAUUCAUCUUCAAGGGAAUGGUGACACUACCCGACACCCCCGUUGUGACGUACGGUGCUGCAUACUCCCCAGUGACCAGCCCUUCUAAAUUCCAGACCGCUCAAAGGGCUCGGGAACUCAGGAAGUCCACAGUAGAUGACACUUCUCUGUCCCAUGACAUCUCAGAUGUCCAUGACUGGGAAAUGGAACACCUGGACUGGGACAAUCUGAAGGCUGGUGCAACUUAAGUUUUUAUCCAAGUAUCCAGUUGUUGUCUGUCAGCAUGGUUUGGGCUUGUAACAGCACAAGAGCAUGUUGAAAGAGGACGUCUGGGAAGAAAGCUUUUCAAUAUCACCAAGUACAGGCUCCAUGACUUUUUCUGACUUAAUCCAGGAGUUACGGCAUUGAUUGCAUCAUACUCUGUCUGUCUCAGGAGACCAAAAUCCACACAGUUUCAAGGGAAAGUGACAUGAUCCCACCUUUUACUGGAUGGAAGGACAAAGUAAUAUGGUAGAUGUGGAAAUUAUGGUAAUACUGCUUCCACUUUUGGAAAAUUUAAUUUAGAGUCUUUGAAUACUUAACAAUUUUGCUUCCAUACCGGAGUAUGUAUAGUCACAUGUAUACAGAGCAUACUCAAAUACUACAUAUAAAAUCACAUUUAUGCAAAUAACACAAAUAUGCUGAAAUCUGCCACUAUGCUGCUACCUGGAACUCAGCUUAUACUUCAAAUAUUUUUAUGAAUUAUUAAUAAGGAAAAUCUGUAUUAGUUAUAUUAUGAUAACAGUUCUUUUAGCAUAUGAAAAACAAGUUUACAUCAAAAUUAUAGUAUUGAAGAUGAAAUUCAGAGUCAACUUUUUUUCCAUACAUUAAGUGGUGAAAUAGCUUAAAAUGAAAUGGAAAAAAAGUUAAAAGACUUAUACCAUCAUGCUAGAAUAAGACUUUUCUAUUUUUAUUUUAUUUUAUCAGAUUCAGGGUGUACCAGUGCAGUUUUGUUGCAAGCAUGUAUUUCAUAGUGUUGAAGUAUUGGCUUUUGGUGUACUCAUCACCUGAAUAGUGAACACUGUGCACAAUAGAUAAUUUUUCAACCCUCAUCCUGCCUUCCCAUCCUCCCCUAUUUUGGAGUCCCCAGUAUCUAUUGUUAUUCUCUGUAUGUCCCUGUGUACCCAUUGUUUAGC
Molecule: long non-coding RNA, 2033 nt
Filed under: Papio anubis (olive baboon)
Lineage: Eukaryota; Metazoa; Chordata; Mammalia; Primates; Cercopithecidae
Description: lncRNA (ENSPANG00000036647.2)
Source: RNAcentral